Molecule: transfer RNA, 77 nt
Filed under: Gammaproteobacteria bacterium GWF2_41_13
Lineage: Bacteria; Pseudomonadati; Pseudomonadota; Gammaproteobacteria
Also listed under: 1 other name
Description: tRNA-Met
Rfam family: tRNA
About the family: Transfer RNA (tRNA) molecules are approximately 80 nucleotides in length. Their secondary structure includes four short double-helical elements and three loops (D, anti-codon, and T loops).
Source: RNAcentral
GGCUACGUAGCUCAGAUGGUUAGAGCGUGGCACUCAUAAUGCCAAGGUCGGUGGUUCGAUUCCACCCGUAGCUACCA